Misgurnus anguillicaudatus (oriental weatherfish) is the source of this 5766-nucleotide non-coding RNA. The record is from RefSeq and is a predicted model, not a curated record. Lineage: Eukaryota; Metazoa; Chordata; Actinopteri; Cypriniformes; Cobitidae.
AAUAAACUUAAUUUCUUGUUUUUGGAAGAGACGAGAACAUUAAAAGCUGAACCGAAGAUCCGAAGCCUUCACUUCCCCAUGCAGUUUCAAAAUAUUUUUGUUGUCAUAGUAAAGAUUGUCUAUGUUGGACAUCUUUUUUUAUCAAAGCAGUUUUGUUUCCCUUUGUUCCUUUGAAGAAAGGCUGGAUCUCUGUGUUUGGAACAGGACUAAACAAAACCCCACUAUUAGCAGUGUGUGUGUGUGGUUAUAAUGCUGACGCUUAUUGGUCUGACAGAGUAAACACUUUUAUUGUCCUGUACAUACUCAAUGAAAGCUGUUUACAGAUAGCGGUGAGCCAUUGAACUCAUCAACUAUUAAGUAACUCAGAUUGUAUUUGGUCAAACUGGAAGCUCUUAGCUAUAAGUGAUUGUUUUGAAGGCUGUUAUUAGAUUAAGCUACAUUGUUUUGCUUACACAGGAGUAAUACGGAAUAGAAAGGAAGAAAAAGUUUUGCUUCCCUCAUCGUAUGAAUUAGUCAUAUUAAACUCUCAGUCACAAGAAGUUUUUUAGACUACAUCAUUAUCUUUGAGGACCGCUGCAUUUUUGGACUUGGAGACAAAAUGUACUUUAUGGGAUAAAAGCCAAGCUAUUUUCCUGACAGGGAGGACACGAACUAGGGUAUUACAGGGAUGAGAGGAGGAUAUUCCCAACAGAUUGAAAUUACAGGAGCGUUUGAAAUGGCCACUUGUGUCAGUGGAAUCUGAUUGGAGGGUCUACAGGAAGUGCUUGAGAAAAUCCAAUGGACACUGUGUUCUUCUACUGGGAUAUUUGAACCAUCCGUGCCAUUUCCUGCCCACACUUCAGAGAGGGAGUGAGGGGAACAUUCCAGGGUGUUUCUGUCUAGACAUUGGUAGACCUUUUCUAAAAGAUUUCAUCUUUAAAUCUUUUGUGAAAAUACAGAGCCAGCAGUGAAUCGUUGUUGAGUUUUUUUUUGUCCAACCGGCUGCCACACUAAUUUGGAGUUUUAUUUGAAUAAUUUGUGUGCAAACACACAUUGCAAAUACUGCAGACGUAUGUUGGAUUGGAUAUCCCAUCCUUAAUGUGACUAGAAAUCUACACGGUGUGACAGAAUUGACAGACGGUACUUAAAUGCUUAUAUCUUAGAGAUGUGAAUUUUCUUAUUAAUGACGGAAUUCAGAGUCAAAUGUACACUGGUAAAGAGAAAUACUGAUACAGGAGGAGUUAUGGAGCAUUUCUUUUUUUAAAACAAUUCUGAGGCAUUGUGAGCAUCACCACAUGAUUCUGUUCUGCUUUUGGAGUUUUGACUGCAUCAACCCUGGCACAAUGAAACCGGUCUGUGCCAGUGCAUUGUUGAUAGUAACCCUUGCAGUGCUGACAACUGCUUGACCAGUGACAUGCUCUCUGUCUAAAAUCUGGGGCCCAGGGGCCGAUCACAGAGGCUGCCAUGGAAACCAGUAGUACAUGUGACAACAUGACUGUGCUUACGCAUGAUUGGCCAGUCCAAAUGUCCACAUACUGCGAGCAGUUUGACUGUGUGGAUGGGGUAGGAAAUUAUGAUAUUGUGAAUAAUGUCAUUAUUCCAACCUCAGGAACAGCAGACCCCAGGCCACAGAAUUCAUUGCGGCAGAGCUGGGAAAUGAACUACCAGGAAGCAGCAAUAUACCUGCAGGAAGGAGAGAAUAAUGACAAGUUUUUUACUCAUCCACGGAGUGCCAACGCACUCAGUGCCUACCUGUUCGCCCAUAAUCAUCUCUUCUACAUGAUGGAGCUGCUGACUGCAGUGUUACUCAUGCUACUGUCUCUCGCCGAGGCACCUGCCGUCCCUUUUCUCCGCCUAGAUGUCUAUGUUCACGCUACGCUGGAGUUGCUGGCGUUGGCGAUGGUGGCCUUUGAGUUGUGUAUGAAGCUCCGAUGGCUUGGCUUUCACACCUUCAUACGACAUAAAAGGACCAUGGUGAAGACAAGUGUCCUGUUUCUUCAGUUCGUUGAGGCGAUUGUGGUCUUAGUUCGGCAGACGUCCCACCUGCGUGUAACAAGAGCCUUGCGGCCCAUCUUUCUGGUGGACUGCAGAUACUGUGGAGCUGUUCGCAGAAACCUGCGGCAGAUAUUUCAGUCUCUUCCGCCCUUCAUGGAUAUCCUCCUCCUGCUGCUUUUCUUCAUGGUCAUCUUUGCCAUUCUGGGAUUUUGUCUGUUCUCCAGCAACCCGGCCGACCCUUAUUUCAACACACUGGAGAACAGCAUUGUGAGUCUGUUCGUCCUUCUGACCACUGCAAAUUUCCCAGAUGUGAUGAUGCCGGCAUAUUCAAAGAAUCGCUGGUCGUGCAUUUUCUUCAUCGUGUAUCUGUCCAUCGAGCUCUACUUUAUCAUGAAUCUGCUCCUGGCGGUAGUUUUUGACACCUUUAAUGGAGUUGAGAAAAUGAAGUUUAAAUCUCUGCUUCUGCACAAGCGAUCUGCCAUCGAGCAUGCUUUCCAGCUGCUGGUUAGUCGACAGAGGCCGGAUGGAGUGUCUUUGAAGCAGUUUGACGGACUAAUGCGAUUCUAUCGUCCACGAAUGGCCGCGCGGGAUCGUUUCCUCACUUUUAAGGCCCUGAACCAAUCAGGUGCAACCAUGUUGAGUCUCUCAGACUUUUAUAAGUUUUAUGAGGUGAUCGGGCUCAAAUGGAAGGCUCGACGGAGUGGCGAAUACUGGUUCGAUGAUCUUCCUCGUACUGCAUUCCUCAUUUUCAAAGGAAUAAAUUUACUUGUGAAAUCCAAAGCCUUCCAGUAUGCAAUGUAUCUGGUAGUAGCGAUUAAUGGAAUCUGGAUCUUGGUUGAGACGAACAUGUUAAACGAUGGAGUCUCAUGGACACGUGUUGUUCCCUGGAGUUACAUUGUCUUCCUCACAAUUUAUGGGAUCGAGGUCUUGUUGAAGCUCACAGGUCUUGGUCCUAUGACAUAUUUCAGUUUAGGAUGGAACCUUUUUGAUUUCUCAGUAACUGUCUUUGCCUUUCUGGGAUUGAUUGCUUUGGCCUUCGACAUGGAGCCAUUCUACUUUGUUGUGGUGUUGAGACCUCUUCAGCUUCUCCGGUUGUUUAAAAUCAAGCAGCGUUAUCGAAAUGUUCUGGACACAAUGUUUGAACUCUUCCCACGCAUGGCCAGUCUAGGUCUGACUCUGAUUAUCUUCUAUUAUUCCUUUGCCAUCGUUGGAAUGGAGUUUUUCGCCGGUGUCGUUUAUCCAAACUGCUGCAACACGAGCACCGUUGCUGACGCAUAUCGGCAGAUUAAUGUAACGGUUGGCAACCGGACAGUGCUGGAGGAGGGAUAUUACUAUCUGAAUAACUUCAAUAACAUCCUGAGCAGCUUUGUCACUUUAUUUGAACUAACAGUGGUGAACAACUGGUACAUCACUAUGGAAGGCAUUACGUCCCAAACCAGCCACGGGAGUCGCCUCUAUUUCAUGACCUUUUACAUUGUCACCAUGGUCGUAAUGACAAUAAUUGUGGCCUUCAUCCUGGACGCAUUCGUCUUCAGAAUGAACUACAGUCGGAAAAACAGAGAGCCAUUGGGAGACCCCGAAGAGGAGAAAGGGAUUGUAUUUGAGACCGAGGUGUCACAGACCGAAGCUCUUCAGACUAUGGACUUGUAUAGACACACGCUACGCAUCACAAACCUAAGCUCACUUCAGAGCAUGUAUGCGGCUCUGGAGCGGUGCGGGCAACCCUCACUAGUGUUUUUGGGGCGAAGGUCACGUACCAAGAGCGACCUCAGCAUGAAGAUGUAUGAGGAAGAGAUUCAGGAAUGGUAUGAAGAAUUUUCCAGAACAAACCUUCAACCUGAUGAGACAUUCCAACAAAGUCUGAACAGCCCUGAAGUCAGCACAACAGACAGCAUUAAUUAACUCCAACACACUAUGAACCAAAAGCAUUAACUAACACACUCACUCAUACCUCUGAGAGACACUGGGGAUCGUCUUCCUCCCAUUGAUGGACACUGGUGCUCACCGUGGCAACUCUUUUCUCCCCCCUUCCACAUGGAGACCCAUAGAAAAUCUUCACUUAAAGCCUUAUUCCCUCCCCAAAAAUGGUUCCAUGGCCAAUCAGGGAAGCUUUAAGAGCAAUCAUGUGACAUGCACUAUAUGUCCAGGAACCUUUUUUCCACACGAAUGCACAUCAUGACAUUUGCCUUGUUUUGGAUGACCCUGAACGAUUCAGACUCUGGUGGUUUUGACAACUGAGACAAGUGACUGAAUGUUUUUCUGAGAGAUGAAUCAAAACUGAAUGUGAGGAUUAUAGCACUCCAGAGUCCGAGGAUUGUGGGUGAUUAAUGGCACGAAGGAUACAGUUCAUGCAUCCUUUAAAAGUGGCCGAAUGAAGGGCACGAAACAUAGGCUGCCUUCGAAGCAUCCUUCAGAUUGAGAUGUCCUUCGGCGAAGCGUGAUGACGUGGCAGCCGAAAUAUGCAGCCUUCCUAUGACGCAUCCUCACGUUUGAGAAACAAAAUGCGCUCUAUAGUAGGGCUUUGACGAUUAUGACUUUUGUAAGGUUUACUUGGCAGUAAAUAUUAAUACACAUAACACACAUUUAAAAGUUAUAUGAUACUGUCUCUGUCUUGUAUGCUGCAGCUCCCCCUUGUGUUUUUUAGAGAGAUGUGCAAUAAUUGCGGUGAUCUAAAAUCAUCACGAUGAGGUCAAACAAUCGCGAUGAGACGAUUAUUUAAUCAUUGUGACAGCCCUACUUUAUAGAACAGUUUGUCCAUUUUCGGGCUACUGUAGAAACAUGGCUCCAACUUUCAUGUAAGGAGACCUGCGGUUUAUGUAGAUAAAAACGGCUCAUUGUAAGGUUAUAAAAACAAAACAGUUCAUUAUGUAAGGUCUUUAUAUGCCACUGAUAAUAUAGUUAUGUGUAUUAUAUUGCAUUUUUGUCAGGAGAUCCUUCUAAAAGUCGCACAUUGCACCUUUAAAAAACAAUACAUCCACUGACAUUUUGUACUGAUGAGUGAUAGAAAAUCUGUCCUGGGCCUUUCAGUUCAUUCAAAAUGUUAUGUUUAUUUUAUGUUUGUCAUCCUAUUCUCAUGUUUUUAAUCCUCAUCUACAAACGCUCUGCCUUUUGUUUGGUAUAUAUUUUGGACUGUCGUAAUGACAGUGUUAAGUUUUACCCAAGACUAUAGUCUGAAUAAUAUUGUUCUCCAGAUUUACUACAAGUCUGUCCUUAAAUCUAAAUUUUCCUCUAAAAAGUGUUUCAAAACUAAUGUUAUUUAUUAAUAGUAAGAUAAGCAAUAGUAUUACAUGUAUUACACUGUAAAAAAAAUGCAGCAUGAGGUUAAAUCAACUUGGUUUUGUAAGUCAAUUCAACCUACUAUUUUUAAUUUUGACCUUUGAUAAGUUUACAACUUAUAGUUGAAAUUGUUUAACUUUAUUUUUAGUUUAAGUAACCAUAAAAGUAUUUGUUGAUUUAACAAAAAAUACUGCAUUUGUUUACAUUGUACCUGCAUUGUUGUGAUAUGUUAUUUAAUAAGAAUUAUUUGAGUUUACCAAGAUAUUAAUACGUUUUUACUUCCGACAUGGGCGUUCACUCAUGAUGGUUAUUUUUAGCACAAAUUGUUGGUUGUUUAAUUGCCCUGUAAGAUACACAGCCUAAAUGCUCCAAAUGUAAAGGAACAUGCUGCAUACAUGGCAAAAGCAACCCCACACCAGCUCCUCAUACUGUUGGAUGUAUCCGUCUCUGUGCUCUGUCUUUUUGUACAUGUACAAUAUAAUAACAAAGAUCUAGUAAAAGAUGCAUUUUAAUGAA